Molecule: ribosomal RNA, 340 nt
Filed under: Limnellia quadrata
Lineage: Eukaryota; Metazoa; Arthropoda; Insecta; Diptera; Ephydridae
Description: partial 12S ribosomal RNA
Source: RNAcentral
AAUGUAAUUAUUUUACUUAAGUAGUAAAAGUUAUGUUCUAGAAACUUAAAAAAUUUGGCGGUAUUUUAGUCUAUUCAGAGGAACCUGUUCUGUAAUCGAUAUUCCACGUUGGACCUUACUUAAGUUUGUUAAUCAGUUUAUAUACCGUCGUUAUCAGAAUAUUUUAAAAGAAAAAUAAUUUUCUAAAAUUUUAAUUAAAAUUUAUAUCAGAUCAAGGUGUAGCUUAUAUUUAAGUAGAAAUGGGUUACAAUAAAAAUAUUUUUGGAUUUAAUUAUGAAAAAAUUAAUAAAAUUGGAUUUGAUAGUAAAAUUAUAAAGAUUAUUAAUUUGAUUAUAGCUCU